Molecule: ribosomal RNA, 274 nt
Filed under: uncultured bacterium
Lineage: Bacteria
Description: partial 16S ribosomal RNA
Rfam family: Bacterial small subunit ribosomal RNA
Source: RNAcentral
AUACGGAGGGUGCGAGCGUUAAUCGGAAUUACUGGGCGUAAAGCGUACGUAGGUGGUUUGUUAAGUCAGAUGUGAAAGCCCUGGGCUCAACCUGGGAAUGGCAUUUGAAACUGACGAGCUAGAAUAUGGUAGAGGGAAGUGGAAUUCCGGGUGUAGCGGUGAAAUGCGUAGAUAUCCGGAGGAACACCAGUGGCGAAGGCGGCUUCCUGGACCAAUAUUGACGCUGAGGUACGAAAGCGUGGGUAGCAAACAGGAUUAGAAACCCUAGUAGUCC